GGAGUGCAGGCCGAAGGUCGCGUCGCUGGGCUCAUAACCCAGAGGUCGCAGGUUCAAAUCCUGCCCCCGCUACAA
Molecule: transfer RNA, 75 nt
Filed under: Oerskovia sp. Root22
Lineage: Bacteria; Bacillati; Actinomycetota; Actinomycetes; Micrococcales; Cellulomonadaceae
Description: tRNA-Met
Rfam family: tRNA
About the family: Transfer RNA (tRNA) molecules are approximately 80 nucleotides in length. Their secondary structure includes four short double-helical elements and three loops (D, anti-codon, and T loops).
Source: RNAcentral